AACGAACGCUGGCGGCAUGCCUAACACAUGCAAGUCGAACGAGGACUUCGGGUCUAGCGGCGGACGGGUGCGUAACGCGUGGGAAUGUGCCCUUCUCUACGGAAUAACUCUGGGAAACUGGUAGUAAUACCGUAUACGCUCUAUUGGGGAAAGAUUUAUCGGCGAAGGAUCAGCCCGCGUUGGAUUAGGUAGUUGGUGGGGUAAUGGCCUACCAAGCCGACGAUCCAUAGCUGGUCUGAGAGGAUGAUCAGCCACACUGGGACUGAGACACGGCCCAGACUCCUACGGGAGGCAGCAGUGGGGAAUCUUAGACAAUGGGGGCAAGCCUGAUCUAGCCAUGCCGCGUGAGUGAUGAAGGCCUUAGGGUUGUAAAGCUCUUUUAGCUGGGAAGAUAAUGACGGUACCAGGAGAAGAAGCCCCGGCUAACUCCGUG
This 433-nucleotide ribosomal RNA is filed under the name uncultured bacterium. RNAcentral describes it as "partial 16S ribosomal RNA". It matches the Rfam family "Bacterial small subunit ribosomal RNA", at positions 29 to 507 of the family's 1533-position model. The record is from RNAcentral.